GACGAACGCUGGCGGCGUGCUUAACACAUGCAAGUCGAACGGAAAGGCCCUGCUUUUGUGGGGUGCUCGAGUGGCGAACGGGUGAGUAACACGUGAGUAACCUGCCCUUGACUUUGGGAUAACUUCAGGAAACUGGGGCUAAUACCGGAUAGGAGCUCCUGCUGCAUGGUGGGGGUUGGAAAGUUUCGGCGGUUGGGGAUGGACUCGCGGCUUAUCAGCUUGUUGGUGGGGUAGUGGCUUACCAAGGCUUUGACGGGUAGCCGGCCUGAGAGGGUGACCGGCCAAGUGGGGACGGAGAGACCGCCCACACUCCAAGGGGGGCAAGGAGGGGGGAAUAUUGCACGAGGGGCGGAAGCCUGAGGCAGCAACGCGGCGUGCGGGAGGACGGCCUGAGGGUUGGAACCCGCUUCCGGCUGGGACGGAGCGUGAGGGACGUUAAUGGGUAAAGAAGCACCGGCUAACGACGUACCAGCACCCGCGGGAAAAAUCGACGCGCUCACUUCUGAAC
This 508-nucleotide ribosomal RNA is filed under the name uncultured bacterium. RNAcentral describes it as "partial 16S ribosomal RNA". It matches the Rfam family "Bacterial small subunit ribosomal RNA", at positions 38 to 536 of the family's 1533-position model. The record is from RNAcentral.